GCCCAAUUUCGCACGUGCCUGUGGCCGCGUGCCGGUCGGUGGGCAUCCGGACAAGAGGCCGGACAGCCGCCCGGGGAUCAAAGGACGAGAGGCACCUCUCCGGUGCCAGGGUAUCUCGACCUCCCCGUCAAUCGACCGGCAGCUGGAGGCGAACCAGCAAUCUCCUGCUCUCCGCAGGGGGACGCGGCUUGAAGCAACGACGUAGCGGGCUUUU
RNAcentral lists this small RNA (214 nucleotides) under Blastochloris viridis. RNAcentral's name for it is "Alphaproteobacterial sRNA ar45". It matches the Rfam family "Alphaproteobacterial sRNA ar45". The record is from Rfam by way of RNAcentral. Lineage: Bacteria; Pseudomonadati; Pseudomonadota; Alphaproteobacteria; Hyphomicrobiales; Blastochloridaceae.